AAAGAUUGAUUAAAUUGAUUAUUAUUCGUUUAAGUUUUAAUGACCAUACCGAUAGUGUACCUCAUGAAGUAAUUCUUAUCUAUUUAUGUCAACAGUAGAGAGACAGGCAAUAAAGGACAGCAACAUCAGAGACAGACAAUGGAGGGCAGCAACAGAGACAAUGGAACAUAGCAACAGACAACUGAGUGGGGAGCAACAGACGAACAAAUAAGGACAGCAACAACAGACUCACAACAAACUUAUAAUGAAUAAAAUAUGUCUAAAUUAAAA
Molecule: long non-coding RNA, 270 nt
Organism: Pygocentrus nattereri (red-bellied piranha)
Lineage: Eukaryota; Metazoa; Chordata; Actinopteri; Characiformes; Serrasalmidae
Exons: 2
Source: RefSeq, a predicted model, not a curated record